This 400-nucleotide ribosomal RNA is filed under the name uncultured bacterium. RNAcentral describes it as "bacterial SSU rRNA". It matches the Rfam family "Bacterial small subunit ribosomal RNA", at positions 355 to 753 of the family's 1533-position model. The record is from RNAcentral.
UAGGGAAUAUUGGGCAAUGGUCGGAAGACUGACCCAGCCAUGCCGCGUGCAGGAAGACGGCCCUCUGGGUUGUAAACUGCUUUUAUCAGGGAAGAAAAAGGCCAUGCGUGGCAAAUUGCCGGUACCUGAUGAAUAAGCACCGGCUAACUCCGUGCCAGCAGCCGCGGUAAUACGGAGGGUGCGAGCGUUGUCCGGAUUUAUUGGGUUUAAAGGGUGCGUAGGCGGCUGCUUAAGUCAGUGGUAAAAGGCACGGGCUCAACCCGAUGUAAGCCAUUGAUACUGGGCAGCUUGAGUUCUCUGAGAGUACAUGGAAUUGAUGGUGUAGCGGUGAAAUGCAUAGAUACCAUCAGGAACACCGAUAGCGAAGGCAUUGUACUUUGGAGCGACUGACGCUGAUGCA